AGUGGCGGACGGGUGAGUAACGCGUGGGUAACCUGCCUCAUACAGGGGGAUAACAGUUAGAAAUGACUGUUAAUACCGCAUAAGACCACAGAGCCGCAUGGCUCGGUGGGAAAAACUCCGGUGGUAUGAGAUGGACCCGCGUCUGAUUAGGUAGUUGGUGGGGUAACGGCCUACCAAGCCAACGAUCAGUAGCCGACCUGAGAGGGUGACCGGCCACAUUGGGACUGAGACACGGCCCAA
This 240-nucleotide ribosomal RNA is filed under the name uncultured bacterium. RNAcentral's name for it is "partial 16S ribosomal RNA". It matches the Rfam family "Bacterial small subunit ribosomal RNA", at positions 94 to 334 of the family's 1533-position model. The record is from RNAcentral.